This 253-nucleotide ribosomal RNA is filed under the name uncultured bacterium. Its description in RNAcentral is "partial 16S ribosomal RNA". It matches the Rfam family "Bacterial small subunit ribosomal RNA", at positions 524 to 776 of the family's 1533-position model. The record is from RNAcentral.
UACGGAGGGUGCAAGCGUUAUUCGGAAUUACUGGGCGUAAAGCGCACGCAGGCGGGCUGUCAAGUCAGAUGUGAAAGCCCCGGGCUCAACCGAGGAACUGCAUUUGAUACUGGUAGGCUUGAGUCUCGUAGAGGGGGGUAGAAUUCCAGGUGUAGCGGUGAAAUGCGUAGAGAUCUGGAGGAAUACCGGUGGCGAAGGCGGCUCCCUGGACGAAGACUGACGCUGAGGUGCGAAAGCGUGGGGAGCAAACAGG